Molecule: ribosomal RNA, 497 nt
Filed under: uncultured bacterium
Lineage: Bacteria
Description: partial 16S ribosomal RNA
Rfam family: Bacterial small subunit ribosomal RNA
Source: RNAcentral
GAUGAACGCUGGCGGCGUGCCUAAUACAUGCAAGUCGAGCGAACAGAUGAGGAGCUUGCUCCUCUGACGUUAGCGGCGGACGGGUGAGUAACACGUGGAUAACCUACCUAUAAGACUGGGAUAACUUCGGGAAACCGGAGCUAAUACCGGAUAAUAUAUUGAACCGCAUGGUUCAAUAGUGAAAGACGGUUUUGCUGUCACUUGUAGAUGGAUCCGCGCCGCAUUAGCUAGUUGGUAAGGUAACGGCUUACCAAGGCAACGAUGCGUAGCCGACCUGAGAGGGUGAUCGGCCACACUGGAACUGAGACACGGUCCAGACUCCUACGGGAGGCAGCAGUAGGGAAUCUUCCGCAAAGGGCGAAAGCCUGACGGAGCAACGCCGCGUGAGUGAUGAAGGUCUUCGGAUCGUAAAACUCUGUUAUUAGGGAAGAACAAAUGUGUAAGUAACUAUGCACGUCUUGACGGUACCUAAUCAGAAAGCCACGGCUAACUACGUG